UUCAAUACACAACUUCUUAACAGUCUCAUAGACAAUCACUAGUUCAUCUCUAGCAUCAUCUAUCCACACGUUACACAGCCUCUCACUGACCGAGCCUUCACGGCUCCUUGGCUUGACCAGGACCAUCCUUAGUUCCUGAAACCACAACCAGAUAAGCAUUAAUCAUAACCGAGAAUAGAACAGAUUGAUUCUACCAUGCUUGGCUUGGUUCCUAGAACUUAGAUAAACCUCAGUCAACAUAAUCACAAAAACGUAUGAACCUACCUACCGUAUCCUAAGUCAUACAACCAACCACCCCUUGACUUAGAAUC
RNAcentral lists this long non-coding RNA (311 nucleotides) under Brassica napus (rape). RNAcentral's name for it is "long non-coding RNA (BNAP_LNC024744)". Lineage: Eukaryota; Viridiplantae; Streptophyta; Magnoliopsida; Brassicales; Brassicaceae. The record is from RNAcentral.